AAGGGCGACUGAAGGGUCAACAGCUCACCAUGUGAAUCUGCAGUGCCGAAUUGUGGUCUGGAGACUAUUGCAAUCAGGUCAAGUUCCUUGGAACGGGGCAGCUCAGAGGGUGACACUCCCAUAUGCCUGGCCUUGUCAUGGAGUCGAGUUGUUUGGGAUUGCAGCUCCAAGUGGGUGGUAAAUUCCAUCGAAAGCUAAAUACUGGUGGAAAACCGAUAGCGAACAAGUACCGUGAGGGAAAGAUGCAAAGAACUUUGAAAAGAGAGUUAAAGAGUACCUGAAAUUGCUGAAAAAGAAGCAAAGGAAACCAGUGUUGUUGUGCCAUAUUUCCCUGCUCGCUUGCGGUUGGGGCGCUGUGGCCAGCGUAGUCUUCUUUGAU
RNAcentral lists this ribosomal RNA (379 nucleotides) under Pinnularia acuminata. Its description in RNAcentral is "eukaryotic LSU rRNA". It matches the Rfam family "Eukaryotic large subunit ribosomal RNA", at positions 85 to 502 of the family's 3401-position model. Lineage: Eukaryota; Bacillariophyta; Bacillariophyceae; Sellaphorales; Pinnulariaceae. The record is from RNAcentral.